CAUUCAUCUUCUUCAACUUCCACUUAUUCUUAGCUGAAACACGUUCAUCUCCCAUAAUUUGGGAUUUCUGAAUUGCAGUGGUCCACUCGUCUAGCACAUCAUCCAUAUCGUAGGAGAUGUUUUUGAGCUUCUGCAUCCAAAGUUUGACUGCAUCAUUCUUCAGUUGUUUAUUCUCGGCAUCCACCAGAACGGCCUUGAUGAGCUGGAAUUGGGUGGUCAGCAUUUGAACUUCUUUCUUGACACCCACAACGAGGCUCACCUCUUGUUCUAUCUCACUAGCAAUGAUUGAGAUUAAUUCUUCCAAGACUUUGGAAACAAGUGCGUCAGCCAUAGUUGAAAGCUGUUGUGUAAUUGAUUGAUCAGAAAGGAGAAUUGAAAAA
Molecule: unclassified non-coding RNA, 380 nt
Filed under: Hevea brasiliensis (rubber tree)
Lineage: Eukaryota; Viridiplantae; Streptophyta; Magnoliopsida; Malpighiales; Euphorbiaceae
Source: RNAcentral